CCUUUCUUGCAGAUACAGAUUUCGAAAACGACAUUGUUUUUAUUUAAAAAUAAAUAAACCCCUAAUAACUUCAUCCCAUGUUCCAAAACCCACUGUCAUCCCACCAGGCACCAACGUCCAACCCCCAGCGGGUCACCGUCACCACUAUCUGCUACUCACCGCAGUCACAACGCGGCGAUGUGAUUACAGUUCAAUGCAAUUGUUUUCUCCUUACCUUUCAAUUCAUUCAUUGAGUUCUCUCCCUUUCUGUGUAUAUAAAUCUAUAUACAUAAAGAAACGCCCCCAUCUCACCAGUCACCACCGACCACUGAACAUCCACCUUUCCUCUCCCAUCGGAGUACUUCCAACUCCCCCGGCCCCAUCCCCCUUAGACCACUGCAACCUUCCUCUCCCUUCCCUCUCUCCACUAAUCCCCCAUCUCGGUAAAUCAGUGAGAGAGAGAGAGAGGUUGAAGUUGGGCGUUUAGAGAGAGAAACUGGAAUUGGGUGUUUUUUGUUGUAAAUAAUUGAAUUUCGGUUGUGUUGGCAUGGAUUGGGUUUUCAUGACGGUGUUUGAAUGGAUUUAUGGGUUGAUGUUGGUGGUCGAGUGUGGUGGUUGGAGAUGGAGGAGAGAGGGAUUUAGGAGCGGCUAGUGGAAGAGGAGAGAGAAGGCGCUGUGGCAGUUGGACGUAGAAAGCGAUUAUGCAGCGUUGGCGGCGAUUAUGCAGUGGUGGAGCCGGUGUAUAGACGGUGAUAAGAAAGGGAGGAGAGAGAGGAGAUAAUCAAUGGAAGAAAACCAAAAAAUAAUGGGUCUAAGUUUUUGGACGAACCGUGUAUC
This 816-nucleotide long non-coding RNA is filed under the name Actinidia chinensis (golden kiwifruit). RNAcentral describes it as "long non-coding RNA (ACHI_LNC000990)". The record is from RNAcentral. Lineage: Eukaryota; Viridiplantae; Streptophyta; Magnoliopsida; Ericales; Actinidiaceae.